Molecule: ribosomal RNA, 208 nt
Filed under: uncultured fungus
Lineage: Eukaryota; Fungi
Description: partial 18S ribosomal RNA
Rfam family: Eukaryotic small subunit ribosomal RNA
Source: RNAcentral
UACUGGCGUUAUUGGUUCCUCCCUUCUGAAGAACCACGAUGUCAUUAAUUUGGUGUCGCGGGGAAUCAGGACUGUUACUUUGAAAAAAUUAGAGUGUUUAAAGCAGGCUCGCGCUUGAAUACAUUAGCAUGGAAUAAUGAAAUAGGACGUUUGAUUCUAUUUUGUUGGUUUCUGGGAUCGACGUAAUGAUUAAUAGGGAUAGUUGGGA